This 69-nucleotide transfer RNA is filed under the name Sphaerodactylus townsendi. RNAcentral's name for it is "tRNA-Ala". It matches the Rfam family "tRNA". From Rfam's summary of the family: Transfer RNA (tRNA) molecules are approximately 80 nucleotides in length. Their secondary structure includes four short double-helical elements and three loops (D, anti-codon, and T loops). Further hydrogen bonds mediate the characteristic L-shaped molecular structure. tRNAs have two regions of fundamental functional importance: the anti-codon, which is responsible for specific mRNA codon recognition, and the 3' end, to which the tRNAs corresponding amino acid is attached (by aminoacyl-tRNA synthetases). tRNAs cope with the degeneracy of the genetic code in two manners: having more than one tRNA (with a specific anti-codon) for a particular amino acid; and 'wobble' base-pairing, i.e. permitting non-standard base-pairing at the 3rd anti-codon position. Lineage: Eukaryota; Metazoa; Chordata; Lepidosauria; Squamata; Sphaerodactylidae. The record is from RNAcentral.
UGCAUGGCUCAGUGGUAGAGCAUCUGGUUUGCAUGCAGAAGGUCCCGGGUUCAAUCCCCAGUAUAAGAA